CCUACGGGAGGCAGCAGUGGGGAAUCUUGCGCAAUGGGGGCAACCCUGACGCAGCCAUGCCGCGUGAAUGAUGAAGGCCUUAGGGUUGUAAAGUUCUUUUGCCCGUGACGAUGAUGACGGUAACGGGAGAAUAAGCUCCGGCUAACUUCGUGCCAGCAGCCGCGGUAAUACGAAGGGGGCUAGCGUUGUUCGGAAUUACUGGGCGUAAAGCGCGCGCAGGCGGUUCGAUAAGUUAGGGGUGAAAUCCCUGGGCUCAACCCAGGAAUGGCCUUUAAGACUGUCGAGCUAGAGGACGAGAGAGGUGAGUGGAAUUCCCAGUGUAGAGGUGAAAUUCGUAGAUAUUGGGAAGAACACCGGUGGCGAAGGCGGCUCACUGGCUCGUUUCUGACGCUGAGGCGCGAAAGCGUGGGGAGCAAACAGGAUUAGAUACCCUGGUAGUCCACGCCCUAAACGAUGAGUGCCAGGUGUCGGGAAGCUUAGCUUCUCGGCGCCGCAGCUAACGCCUUAAGCACUCCGCCUGGGGAGUACGGCCGCAAGGUUAAAACUACAAAGAAUUGACGG
This 561-nucleotide ribosomal RNA is filed under the name uncultured bacterium. RNAcentral's name for it is "bacterial SSU rRNA". It matches the Rfam family "Bacterial small subunit ribosomal RNA", at positions 338 to 916 of the family's 1533-position model. The record is from RNAcentral.